RNAcentral lists this unclassified non-coding RNA (196 nucleotides) under rhizosphere metagenome. RNAcentral describes it as "partial ribosomal RNA internal transcribed spacer region". The record is from RNAcentral.
GUAGGUGAACCUGCGGAGGGAUCAUUACUGAGUUUUUAACUCUCCAAAUUAUGUGAAUUUACCAUUGUUGCCUCGGUGGUCGGUGCUGGAAACAGUGCUGCCACCGGUGGAUUACUAAACUCUUGUUAAUUUUUGUCAAAUUUGAAUCAAACUAAGAAAUAAGUUAAAACUUUCAACAACGGAUCUCUUGGUUCUG